AACAGAUUUUAAGUAUUCUCACCACAAAAAUAAGUGUGUGGGAUGAUGUAUGUGUUAAUUAGCUCAAUUCAGCUAUUUCUCAUGAAGAACUGGAAUGUUCAUGAAUAUCAAAUAGAAUGGGAGUUAACUGAAUUAACUGAACCAACAGAAAACAGAAGUAAUUUUUUUACCUUUGUUUAAAAUGCUGCUGAUCCUUUGUUUUAUUUUUCAGAGUCAAGGACACUUUUCUUUUGAGCUAUAUACAGCUUUUAGUAAUUGAGUAAAGUAUACUCCUGUGAACAAAAUGUGGAGCAUAUUUGAUUCUCUCUACCUGUUUUCUCCAAAAUUGGAAACUGAAUCAAACUUGACUUGUAAAGCCAGUAAAAGCUCCAUGAAGAAUUGGCCUCAUACCUUGUCUGCAACAGUCCCUGUACAGGGUUUCUGACUUGGGCAGACCUAGAAACAUUGAAACACAAGGAACAAUGAGUGCUCCUAACAUCCAAAUUUUGUUUUCUAAAUACCAUUC
Molecule: long non-coding RNA, 505 nt
Filed under: Papio anubis (olive baboon)
Lineage: Eukaryota; Metazoa; Chordata; Mammalia; Primates; Cercopithecidae
Description: lncRNA (ENSPANG00000039244.1)
Source: RNAcentral